AGUUUGAUCCUGGCUCAAAAUCAACGCUGGCGGCGUGCCUCAGACAUGCAAGUCGGACGCGAAGGGGGGCUUCGGCCCCCGAGUAGAGUGGCGCACGGGUGAGUAACACGUGGGUAAUCUGCCUCCGGGUGGGGAAUAACGACCGGAAACGGUCGCUAAUACCGCAUAACGCAGCGGCAGCUUCGGCUGACAGUUGUUAAAGCGGGGGACGGCUUCGGCCGCCUCGCGCCUGGAGAGGAGCCCGCGGCGGAUUAGCUAGUCGGUGGGGUAACGGCCUACCGAGGCACCGAUCCGUAGCCGGCCUGAGAGGGUGGUCGGCCACACUGACACUGACACACGGGUCACACUCCUACGGGAGGCAGCAGUCGGGAAUUUUGGGCAAUGGGCGCAAGCCUGACCCAGCAACGCCGCGUGAAGGACGAAGCAUCUCGGUGUGUGAACUUCAUAAGAGUGAGAAGAAUAAGCGGGGGGAUAACACCCCCCCGUGAUGACGGUACCACUUGUAAGCACCGGCUAACUCCGUGCCAGCAGCCGCGGUAAUAAGGGGGGGG
This 551-nucleotide ribosomal RNA is filed under the name uncultured bacterium. Its description in RNAcentral is "partial 16S ribosomal RNA". It matches the Rfam family "Bacterial small subunit ribosomal RNA", at positions 10 to 534 of the family's 1533-position model. The record is from RNAcentral.